GGAUGAACGCUGACAGAAUGCUUAACACCUGCAAGUCUACUUGAAUUUGGGUUUUUAAAUUUAGAUUUGGGUGGCGGACGGGUGAGUAACGCGUAAAGAACUUGCCUCACAGCUAGGGACAACAUUUAGAAAUGAAUGCUAAUACCUGAUAUUAUGAUUUUAAGGCAUCUUAGAAUUAUGAAAGCUAUAAGCACUGUGAGAGAGCUUUGCGUCCCAUUAGCUAGUUGGAGAGGUAACAGCUCACCAAGGCGAUGAUGGGUAGCCGGCCUGAGAGGGUGAACGGCCACAAGGGGACUGAGACACGGCCCUUACUCCUACGGGAGGCAGCAGUGGGGAAUAUUGGACAAUGGACCGAGAGUCUGAUCCAGCAAUUCUGUGUGCACGACCAAGUUUUUCGGAAUGUAAAGUGCUUUCAGUUGGGAAGAAAAAAAUGACGGUACCAACAGAAGAAGUGACGGCUAAAUACGUGCCAGCAGCCGCGGUAAUACGUAUGUCACGAGCGUUAUCCGGAUUUAUUGGGCGUAAAGCGCGUCUAGGUGGUUAUGUAAGUCUGAUGUGAAAAUGCAGGGCUCAACUCUGUAUUGCGUUGGAAACUGUAUAACUAGAGUACUGGAGAGGUAAGCGGAACUACAAGUGUAGAGGUGAAAUUCGUAGAUAUUUGUAGGAAUGCCGAUGGGGAAGCCAGCUUACUGGACAGAUACUGACGCUAAAGCGCGAAAGCGUGGGUAGCAAACAGG
Molecule: ribosomal RNA, 737 nt
Filed under: uncultured Fusobacterium sp.
Lineage: Bacteria; Fusobacteriati; Fusobacteriota; Fusobacteriia; Fusobacteriales; Fusobacteriaceae
Description: bacterial SSU rRNA
Rfam family: Bacterial small subunit ribosomal RNA
Source: RNAcentral